RNAcentral lists this non-coding RNA (196 nucleotides) under Candidatus Excrementavichristensenella intestinipullorum. RNAcentral describes it as "raiA RNA". It matches the Rfam family "raiA RNA". The record is from RNAcentral. Lineage: Bacteria; Bacillati; Bacillota; Clostridia.
CUCAGGUCUGUGGUUGAAAGUCGAUGCCAGUCGCAGGCGAAACGACCCACGUAACCCGGUCAAAGACCGGUGAGCAUGGUGCGGCUUAGAUGUUAGUCCGGCCAGUCCAGCGCUGAGAGGGCUAGUAGUGGGGGGCAAUGCCUAGGAGCGAACGUCCCAGCCGGCGGGUGUGGGGGCAAAGACCAGGUCAGCUGAA